RNAcentral lists this transfer RNA (73 nucleotides) under Anaerolineae bacterium. RNAcentral describes it as "tRNA-Thr". It matches the Rfam family "tRNA". From Rfam's summary of the family: Transfer RNA (tRNA) molecules are approximately 80 nucleotides in length. Their secondary structure includes four short double-helical elements and three loops (D, anti-codon, and T loops). Lineage: Bacteria; Bacillati; Chloroflexota; Anaerolineae. The record is from RNAcentral.
GCCGGCGUAGCUCAAGCGGCAGAGCAACUGACUUGUAAUCAGUAGGUCAUGGGUUCGAGUCCCAUCGCCGGCU